GAUGAACGCUGGCGGCGUGCCUAACACAUGCAAGUCGAGCGGGAAGCUCCUGAUUGAAACUUCGGUCGAUUGAUGGAGCCGAUAGCGGCGGACGGGUGAGUAACGCGUAGGCAACCUGCCCCUCACAGAGGGAUAGCCACUGGAAACGGUGAUUAAUACCUCAUAACGCGAGAGAGUCACAUGGUUCUUUCGCCAAAGAUUUAUCGCUGAAAGAUGGCCUCGCGUCUGAUUAGCUAGUUGGUGGGGUAACGGCCCACCAAGGCGACGAUCAGUAGCCGGCCUGAGAGGGUGAACGGCCACAUUGGGACUGAGACACGGCCCAA
Molecule: ribosomal RNA, 323 nt
Filed under: uncultured bacterium
Lineage: Bacteria
Description: bacterial SSU rRNA
Rfam family: Bacterial small subunit ribosomal RNA
Source: RNAcentral